This is a ribosomal RNA of Gossypium raimondii (Peruvian cotton), 3254 nucleotides long. The record is from RefSeq and is a predicted model, not a curated record. Lineage: Eukaryota; Viridiplantae; Streptophyta; Magnoliopsida; Malvales; Malvaceae.
CGACCCCAGGUCAGGCGGGAUUACUCGCUGAGUUUAAGCAUAUCAAUAAGAGUAGGAAAAGAAACUUACCAGGAUUCCCUUCGUAACGGCGAGUGAACGGGUAAAAGCCCAGCUUGAGAAUCGGUCGCCAUCGGCAUCCGAAUUGUAGUCUGGAGAAGCGUCCUCAGCGAUGGACCGGGCCCAAGUCCCCUGGAAAGGGGCGCUGGAGAGGGUGAGAGCCCCAGUGUGCUCGGACCCUAUCGCACCACGUGGCACUGUCUACGAGUCGAGUUGUUUGGGAAUGCAGCCCUAAUCGGGCGAUAAAUUCUAUCCAAGGCUAAAUACAGGCGAGAGACCUAUAGCGAACAAGUACUGCGACGAAAAGAGAGUCAAAGAGUGCUUGAAAUUUUUAGGAGGGAAGCGAGCGGGGGCCAGCUAUGCACCCCGGUCGGAUGUGGAACUGCGAGAGCCAGUCCGUCGAUCGGCUCGAGCCGUGGACUGACGCGGGUCAUGGCGGUGGCCGAAGCCCGGGCCUUUGAUACGCCCGUGGAGACGUCGUUGCCUCGAUCAUGGGAUUCAACACGCGUCGUCUCAGCGUGCUUCGGCAGCUGCGUGCUCCGGACGUCGGCCUGCGGGCUCUCCAUUCGGCUCGUCUUGAAACAUGGACCAAGGAGUCUGACAUGUGUGCGAGUCAAUGGGCUAAAAAACCCGUAAGGCUCAAGGAAGCUGAUAGAAGAGAUCCCUCGCGAGUGCACCGCCGACCAACCUUGAUCUUCUGAGAAGGGUUCGAGUGAGAGGAUGCCCUGUCAGGACCCGAAAAUGGUGAACUAUUUGGCGGGGUGAAGCGGAGGAAACUCGUGGAGGCCCACAGCGACAUCGACGAUGCAAAUUGUUCGUCUCGACUUGGGUAUAGCGGCGAAAGACUAAUCGAACUGCCUAGUAGUGGUUCCUCCAAGUUUCCUCGUGGUAGUUGGAGCCCUUAGCGAGUUCUAUCGGGUAAAGCCAAUGAUUAGAGGCAUCGGGGGCGCAAUGCCCUCAACCUAUUCUUAAACUUUAAAUAGAACGGAAUCGAGAGCUCCAAGUGGGCCAUUUUUGUAAGCGUAAUCGGUGAUACGGAUGAAUCGAAGUCGUUACUGUGCUCAAUCGCAAGGCUAACCUAGAACCCACAAAGGGUGUUGGUCGACUAAGACAGCAAGACGGUGGUCAUGGAAGUCGAAAUCUGCUAAGGAGUGUGUAUCAACUCACCUGCCGAAUCAACUAGCAUCGAAAAUGGAUGGCGCUUAAGCGCGCGACCUAUACCCGGCCGUCGAGGUAAGGGCUAGGCCCCGAUGAGUAGGAGGGCGCCGUGGUUGCCGCAAAACCCGGGGUGCGAGCCUGGGCGGAUUGGCCGUCGGUGCAGAUCUUGGUGGUACUAGCAUAUAUUUAAAUGAAAACUUUGAAGGCCGAAGAGGGGAAAGCUUAGGUUAGUCGAUCUUAAGAGAUGGGGGAAGCCCGUCCGAUAGCGCGUCUAGCGCGAGCUACGAAAGGGUAUCAGGUUAAAAUUCCUGAACAGGGAUGCGACGGCUGACGGCAACGUUAGGAAGUCUGAACACGUCAGCGGGGGCCUCGGGAAGAGUUAUCUUUUCUGUUUAACGACCUGCCCACCCUGGAAACGGCCCAACUAGAGGUAGGGUCCAGCGGCUGGAAGAGCACCGCACGUCAAUUUAGGAACUGGAGGACCGAAAGUGCCGCCCGCACCUUGGCCAUACUCAUAAUCAUGUCAGUCUCCAAGGUGAACGACCUACCGUCAAUGGAACAAUAUAGGAAGGGAAGUCAAGAAAUGGAUCCGUAAUUCGGAAAAGGAUUGGCCCCGAGGGUCGGGCACAAGGUCCCGAUCCCAACCCGCUUACCGUUUGCAUCGCUUGAGCCGCCCCGUGGAGAGAAAGGGUCGCCACGCGCGGCCGGGGACGGAUCGAACGGCUCCUCGGGGGCUUCCCGAGCGAUUUAACAAUCGACUUCGAAUCGGUACGGACAAGGGGAAUCCUUUGUUUAAUUAAAACAAAGCAUUGCGAUGGUCCUGCGGAUGCUCACGUAAUGUGAUUUCUGCAAAGGCUCAAUGUCAAAGUGAAGAAAUUCAACCAAGCGCGGUAAACGGAGGAGUAAUUAUGACUCUCUUAAGGUAGCCAAAUACCUCGCCAUCUAAUUAGUGACGUCUAUGAAUGGAUUAACGAGAUUCCUACCGUCCCUCGCUACUAUCCAAUGAAACCACGACCAAGGAACAGGCUUGGCGAGUAAUCGAAGGGGAAAGAAGACCCUGUUGAGCUUGACUCUAGUCUGACUUUGUGAAAUGACUUAAGAAGUGUAGGAUAAGUGGGAGCUCUCGACCGAAAUUGAAAUACCACUACUUUUAACGAUAUUUUACUUAUUACGUGAAUCGGAGAUGGGGCACGACCCCUCUUUUUGGACUCAAGGCCGGCUUCAACCGGCUGAUCUAGGCAGAAGACAUUAUCAGGUAGGGAGUUUGGCUGGGGCAGCACAUCUGUUAAAAGAUAACGCAGGUGUCCUAAGAUGAGCUCAACAAGAAUAGAAAUCUAGUGUGAAACAAAAGGGUAAAAGCUCGUUUGAUUCUGAUUUCCAGUACGAAUACGAACCGUGAAAGCAUGGCCUAUCGAUCUUUUAGACCAUCGAAAUUUGAAGCUAGAGGUGUCAAAAAAGUUACCACAGGGAUAACUGGCUUGUAGUAGCCAAGCGUUCAUAGCGACGUUACUUUUUGAUCCUUCGAUGUCGGCUCUUCCUAUCAUUGUGAAGCAGAAUUCACCAAGUGUUGGAUUGUUCACCCACCAAUAGGGAACAUGAGCUGGGUUUAGACCGUUGUGAGACAAUUUAGUUUUACCCUGCUGAUGGCCAUGUCGCAAUAGUAAUUCAACCUAGUACGAGAGAAACCUUUGAUUUGAACAAUUGGUCAUCGCGCUUGGUUGAAAAGCCAGUGGCGCGAAGCUACCGUGCGCUGGAUUAUGACCGAACGCCUCUAAGUUAGAGUCCGGGAUAGAAGCGAUGCACACGCCCGUCACCUGAUUGCCGACCUGCAGUAAGGGCCUCUAACCCCCAAGGGCACGUGUCGUAGGUGCAGCGCCGCGGCGGACAAGUCGUGGGUGCCUCCCUGGAGCGUAAUUCCCACCGAGUGGCGGGUAGAAUCCUUUGCAGACGACUUAAAUAUGUGACAGGGUAUUGUAAGUGGCAGAGUGGCCUUGCUACCACGAUCCACUGAGAUUCAGCCCUUUGUCGCUUCGAUUCGU